RNAcentral lists this ribosomal RNA (549 nucleotides) under uncultured bacterium. RNAcentral's name for it is "partial 16S ribosomal RNA". It matches the Rfam family "Bacterial small subunit ribosomal RNA", at positions 355 to 895 of the family's 1533-position model. The record is from RNAcentral.
UGGGGAAUUUUGGACAAUGGGCGAAANCCUGAUCCAGCAAUGCCGCGUGUGUGAAGAAGGCCUUCGGGUUGUAAAGCACUUUUGUCCGGAAAGAAAUCCUUGGCUCUAAUACAGUCGGGGGAUGACGGUACCGGAAGAAUAAGCACCGGCUAACUACGUGCCAGCAGCCGCGGUAAUACGUAGGGUGCAAGCGUUAAUCGGAAUUACUGGGGCGUAAAGCGUGCGCAGGCGGUUUGCUAAGACCGAUGUGAAAUCCCCGGGCUCAACCUGGGAACUGCAUUGGUGACUGGCAGGCUAGAGUAUGGCAGAGGGGGGUAGAAUUCCACGUGUAGCAGUGAAAUGCGUAGAGAUGUGGAGGAAUACCGAUGGCGAAGGCAGCCCCCUGGGCCAAUACUGACGCUCAUGCACGAAAGCGUGGGGAGCAAACAGGAUUAGUACCCUGGUAGUCCACGCCCUAAAACCGAUGUCAACUAGUUGUUGGGGAUUCAUUUCCUUAGUAACGUAGCUAACGCGUGAAGUUGACCGCCUGGGGAGUACGGUCGCAAGAUU